CCUACGGGAGGCAGCAGUAAGGAAUAUUGGACAAUGGGCGAAAGCCUGAUCCAGCCAUGCCGCGUGAAGGAUUAAGGUCCUCUGGAUUGUAAACUUCUUUUAUGUGGGAACGAAAAAAGGGCAUUCUUGCUCACUUGACGGUACCAUAUGAAUAAGCACCGGCUAACUCCGUGCCAGCAGCCGCGGUAAUACGGAGGGUGCAAGCGUUAUCCGGAUUCACUGGGUUUAAAGGGUGCGUAGGCGGAUAGGUAAGUCAGUGGUGAAAUCUCGAAGCUUAACUUCGAAACUGCCAUUGAUACUAUCUAUCUUGAAUAUUGUGGAGGUUUGCGGAAUAUGUCAUGUAGCGGUGAAAUGCUUAGAUAUGACAUAGAACACCGAUUGCGAAGGCAGCAGGCUACACAUAUAUUGACGCUGAGGCACGAAAGCGUGGGGAUCAAACAGGAUUAGAUACCCUGGUAGUCCACGCCCUAAACGAUGAUUACUCGACAUACGCGAUACACUGUGUGUGUCUGAGCGAAAGCAUUAAGUAAUCCACCUGGAAGUACGUCCGCAAGGAUGAAACUACAAAGGAAUUAGACGG
This 580-nucleotide ribosomal RNA is filed under the name uncultured bacterium. RNAcentral's name for it is "bacterial SSU rRNA". It matches the Rfam family "Bacterial small subunit ribosomal RNA", at positions 338 to 917 of the family's 1533-position model. The record is from RNAcentral.